Non-coding RNA from Podarcis lilfordi (Lilford's wall lizard), 74 nucleotides. NCBI's taxonomy places the organism in Eukaryota, Metazoa, Chordata, Lepidosauria, Squamata, Lacertidae. The record is from the annotation of a GenBank genome assembly.
GCUAGGUAAUGCUCAGUUGGUAGAGCAUGAGACACUUAAUCUCACAGCCGUGGGUUCGACUCCCACAUUCGACA